RNAcentral lists this ribosomal RNA (779 nucleotides) under uncultured Neocallimastigales. Its description in RNAcentral is "partial large subunit ribosomal RNA". It matches the Rfam family "Eukaryotic large subunit ribosomal RNA", at positions 22 to 646 of the family's 3401-position model. The record is from RNAcentral. Lineage: Eukaryota; Fungi; Neocallimastigomycota; Neocallimastigomycetes; Neocallimastigales.
GUACACGCUGUGACUAGCAUAUCAAUAAGCGGAGGAAAAGAAACUAACAAGGAUUCCCUCAGUAACGGCGAGUGAAGCGGGAAGAGCUCAAAUUUGAAAUCUUGAAAGGUCUACCUUGCACGAAUUGUAGUUUAAAGAAGUGUUUUCUGCUUACGAUUUGGUAAUAAGUUCUUUGGAAUAGGACAUCAUAGAGGGUGAGAAUCCCGUAUGAUUGACCAUUAUUUGUCAGCUUUGUGAUACACUUUCAAAGAGUCGGAUUGUUUGGGAAUGCAGUCCCAAAAUGGGAUGGUAAAGUUUCAUCUAAGGCUAAAUAUUGGCGAGAGACCGAUAGCGAACAAGUACCGUGAGGGAAAGAUGAAAAGAACUUUGAAAAGAGAGUUAAAUAGUACGUGAAAUUGUCAAAAGGGAAGCGUUUAACACCAGUGUUGUUUUCUGAAAAUCAACCUCUGUUAGCUUUAUGCAUGUUUGUUUAGACCUAAUCAGCUAUCUUGCAUGUUCUAUUGUUUGCAGUGGUGCACUUUUCAGUUUACAGGUCAACAUCAGUUUUUUUUACCGUAAAAAAGUUAAAGAAAGGUAGCUCAUGGCUCCGGUCGUGAGUGUUAUAGUCUUUUUCCUAUGCGGUAGGAGAGACUGAGGUCUGCAGUGUAGGCUAUUUGGCUAGAUACUCAGGUGCUAUGUGAUACCAUUUCAUAAACAACUUGUUGAUUAUGUUUUGUCUAUUGCAUACUCGCUUGUACUAUCAUACCUACGCUUAGGAUGUUGAGUAGCGACAUACGCAC